CGAGUUGGUUGGAUGAUCGCUAACCUAGUUAGAGGAAAGUCCGGACUUCAUAGAGCAGGGCGCCAGGUAACACCUGGGAGACGUGAGUCUACGGAAAGUGCAACAGAAAGUAUACCGCCAAGAUUUUUUGGUAAGGGUGAAAUGGUGAGGUAAGAGCUCACCGCUUAAGUGGAGACAGUUAAGGCAUUGUAAACCCCGGCCCGAAGCAAGACCAAAUAGAAAUCCUUUUAAGUUGCUCGCUUAGGAUUUGGGUAGGUUGCUAGAAUAUUGUGGCAACACAGUAUCAAGAUAGAUGAUCAUCUUCAACAGAAUCCGGCUUAUAGACCAACUCAACUU
Molecule: RNase P RNA, 336 nt
Filed under: Pseudomonadota bacterium
Lineage: Bacteria; Pseudomonadati; Pseudomonadota
Description: Proteobacteria bacterium (freshwater metagenome) RNase P RNA component class A
Rfam family: Bacterial RNase P class A
About the family: Ribonuclease P (RNase P) is a ubiquitous endoribonuclease, found in archaea, bacteria and eukarya as well as chloroplasts and mitochondria. Its best characterised activity is the generation of mature 5'-ends of tRNAs by cleaving the 5'-leader elements of precursor-tRNAs. Cellular RNase Ps are ribonucleoproteins.
Source: RNAcentral